This is a long non-coding RNA of Gallus gallus (chicken), 1264 nucleotides long. NCBI's taxonomy places the organism in Eukaryota, Metazoa, Chordata, Aves, Galliformes, Phasianidae. The record is from Ensembl.
CUGAUACAAGUCAUUAUGCGGUUGGCCUUCUUGGCCACCUGGGCACACUGCCAGAUGGGACACUUCCUCCUAGCUUCGUCUCAUCUUCAAACUUACUGAGGCUGCCUAGAAAGCAGCACGGAGAGCAGUGUGUGAAGCACAGAGACAAAGGAAAACAGCGUGGCUUUGGAGGAGUGGGAGCCAGCUUCCCCGUGGGCUUUGAAGAUGCAAACUCCAAUCCUAUCAGUACGGCAAGGCUGGUGUCUGCUGGAUGGGAUGCAGACGGCGGAAGAAUUUGGCACGCGGUGAUCCUGUAGGUAUUCCAUGGGCUGAAAGCAGAAUUAACUCACUAGUGCGAGGGGAAGAUGCAGAUCCAUGCCCUUGUAUCCUCUCAGAGAUCUCCCCUAUUGCCAGAGGAAAAGCUCCAGCUGUAGUGCAGAGGCCUGGCAUCACUUUACCUCUUGGAGCACAUUAGAUUGUGUGAGAGGAUCAGCAUUGCUUCUGGUGGUGGUUUAAUUAUGGACAUUUGAGAAGCACAGUUUUCUGACUGCUUUGACCAAUCAUAAAGUCAGCACUUCAAAGAAAGAUCUUCAAACAACGUUUUCUGGGAGAAGGCUCUGAUCAGGACUUGUCCCCACCAGAGUUAGGAUUCAGAUCUCUCCAAGAAGCAAAGCAAAUUAAAGCUGGUCAGCUAGAGAAAUGCUGUCCAGGUUUCUUCAUCACAAAUAGCAAAUCUGAAGGCACUUCAGAAUCAGUUUCUGCACACGUUUUACUAUCUGCAGCUCUCAGUCUGUAGCUAAUCAUAGCACACAACUGUGUGAUAGCUCUAACUCCCCCCUGACUUGCGCUGUUGCCAAUUAGAGACAGCUUCACUGAAAUCAAUGCAGUUACAAUUGUGCUGAAUGGAGGUCUGGGUCCCUAAUGCUGGAAGCUAAAUUCACUUCAAGGAUGCCAUAAUAUUCUGAGCAAUGAAUGAGUGAAGAAGGCAGAUGGUGGCUUGGAGUGAUGAAGGAUACACAGCUCUGAUAUCACCCAGUGCUGAAGGUCACUGGGGGUGAUAGUGAUGUGCAAGAGUCAUCUCACCUGAACUGAAAAUUCCAUUACACUGAAUUCCUAUAGUUUAUAUGUUCUAGAAUGUGUCUAUUGAUGUAUGAUUUUCUCUUCUCAGAUAUCUUAUGUCACAUUGAAAGCAGACAGUACAUUUACUUUUAGUAAAUUCCAGUAGGUUAAAUAUUCUGCUAAGAUUUUCCCUUUGUUGUCUGCCUGCAAUAAAGCCUAUUUGGUU